UCGCCUCAUGAGGUUGUUAGCUUUCUGGUUGGCGGCGUCGAUGCGGGAGACGUUCAGGUUGGCCUGCAGACAAAGAAGGGAAACAGGUGCUUCAUUACAGGAAGAACAGUCUGGAAUAUUCUACGAGUGUGGUGCUCCCCAGCGAUAAUGCAGCCUGUUGAAUCAGAAACGAGGUGAUGGAAACACGGAGGGGAAACUAAAAUGGCCGUGGCACACCAGGAAGUCCGGUUUUUUGCAGCCGGUUUGGAUCUGAGUCGGCUGGGUUUUGGUUCUGAUCUAGUGUUUAAACAUGCUGUGGGUUCUGCUGAGUCGGCGGCCGUCCUCUGUCAACAUCCUGUCUGUCCUGGGGGACGUCCCCACUGAGACGCUGAGGAGCUGAUAAAUAAUGACCCACGGUGUGUGUGUGUGAGUUUAGCUCCGCCCCCCGCUGACUUCACCUAGGGUUGUCUCUAUGGCAACCAGGUGAGCCAGGUGUUGCUGUGAUGCCUCCAUGGCAGCAUCCCUGUCUAACCCUAUCUUCAGGUUAUUUUUAGACUUUUGGAGAAUAGAUCCAGGUUUCCAAUAAGAACAUGAAUAAACCCAGACUGGAUUAUGGAUUAUUAUGAUGAACAGAUAAUAUGAAAAUUAUUGAUAGAAACAAUCCAGA
Xiphophorus couchianus (Monterrey platyfish) is the source of this 646-nucleotide long non-coding RNA. RefSeq lists it as uncharacterized. The transcript is spliced from 3 exons. NCBI's taxonomy places the organism in Eukaryota, Metazoa, Chordata, Actinopteri, Cyprinodontiformes, Poeciliidae. The record is from RefSeq and is a predicted model, not a curated record.